This is a long non-coding RNA of Megalobrama amblycephala (Wuchang bream), 722 nucleotides long. RefSeq lists it as uncharacterized. The transcript is spliced from 3 exons. Lineage: Eukaryota; Metazoa; Chordata; Actinopteri; Cypriniformes; Xenocyprididae. The record is from RefSeq and is a predicted model, not a curated record.
CAAACUGUCAGUCAAACCUCUUAACUCCGCCCCCUGAGUGCAGCGAACUGAAGUUCCACAGCAGAGCAGCUGAACGUCUUGCUACGUUUCAGCACAUGCCCCUCAAAAGGUCUGUGCACGGCCCUGCCCAACUGGUUCUUGUUAAGCUCAGCCAUUGCUCAAUGUGGACCAAUCUGGAAGCCAACGUGGAAGUGAAGUUGCCCUCAUGAGGAUCAUCUCUGCAUGUAGCACAAGUGUUAACAGCCCCUCUGGUGUUACAGUUCACUUCUCCCCUGGACUCCAUUUCCCAUGAUCCUCCCUGUUCCACACCUGAACUCACUUCCCUCAUCAUCUCUCCCACUCUCCCUGGAUUCCCUGCACCUGGUCUUUGUCAUUAGCACUCCCUUUAUGUUGGACUCAUUUCCCUGCACUCCUGGUCCAUUCUUGUUGUUGUGUACCUUGUUUUUUGAGUGUUAGCUGUUCUGUUACCUUGUUUAAUAAAUUAGCUAUUGUUACAUUCUGCCUAUUCUAGGCUAUGUAAACAAAGGGAAGACCACGUGGAUUGUUCAUAUAAAGAAAUAUAUUUAUUAAAGAUAAAGAAUGAACAACGCAAGUUAAAUAAAGUCAGUAUAUAUGUUAGGUUAAGAAAUAAAAAUGUAUGCGACAAGAAAUAUGAGGUGUCAUGCAUAAGCAAACAAAAACAUCACAACGGUGCGGGAGAGAAGGAGAAACGGCGGCCUCUU